RNAcentral lists this transfer RNA (146 nucleotides) under Rhizoctonia solani AG-1 IA. It matches the Rfam family "tRNA". From Rfam's summary of the family: Transfer RNA (tRNA) molecules are approximately 80 nucleotides in length. Lineage: Eukaryota; Fungi; Basidiomycota; Agaricomycetes; Cantharellales; Ceratobasidiaceae. The record is from Rfam by way of RNAcentral.
GCCCUUAUAGCACAGUGGUAGUGCGUUGCACUUGUAAGCUACGCAUUCAGUCCAGUGAUCUGGCUGGGUGUGAAUGUUGCUGCGUGGUCCAGCUACGUUGGCCGCGUGUCAUGCAAAGGUCCCAGGUUCAAUCCCUGGUGAGGGCA